AGUGAACGCUGGCGGUAGGCCUAACACAUGCAAGUCGAGCGGCAGCACAGUAAGAGCUUGCUCUUACGGGUGGCGAGUGGCGGACGGGUGAGGAAUACAUCGGAAUCUACUUUUUCGUGGGGGAUAACGUAGGGAAACUUACGCUAAUACCGCAUACGACCUACGGGUGAAAGCAGGGGAUCUUCGGACCUUGCGCGAUUGAAUGAGCCGAUGUCGGAUUAGCUAGUUGGCGGGGUAAAGACCCACCAAGGCGACGAUCCGUAGCUGGUCUGAGAGGAUGAUCAGCCACACUGGAACUGAGACACGGUCCAGACUCCUACGGGAGGCAGCAGUGGGGAAUAUUGGACAAUGGGCGCAAGCCUGAUCCAGCCAUACCGCGUGGGUAAAGAAGGCCUUCGGGUUGUAAAGCCCUUUUGUUGGGAAAGAAAAGCAGCAGGUUAAUACCCCGCUGUUCUGACGGUACCCAAAGAAUAAGCACCGGCUAACUUCGUG
Molecule: ribosomal RNA, 492 nt
Filed under: uncultured bacterium
Lineage: Bacteria
Description: partial 16S ribosomal RNA
Rfam family: Bacterial small subunit ribosomal RNA
Source: RNAcentral